RNAcentral lists this ribosomal RNA (487 nucleotides) under uncultured bacterium. RNAcentral's name for it is "SSU rRNA". It matches the Rfam family "Bacterial small subunit ribosomal RNA", at positions 26 to 523 of the family's 1533-position model. The record is from RNAcentral.
AGGACGAACGCUGGCGGCGUGCCUAACACAUGCAAGUCGAACGCGCUCCAUUCGGUAGCAAUACUGAUGAAGAGCGAGUGGCGAACGGGUGAGUAGCACGUGAGCAACCUGCCCCGAAGACUGGGACAACACCGGGAAACCGGUGCUAAUACCGGAUAUCCCUAUCGGACCGCAUGAUCUGAUAAGGAAAUGGAUUCCGCUUCGGGAGGGGCUCGCGGCCUAUCAGCUAGUUGGUGGGGUAACGGCCCACCAAGGCAUCGACGGGUAGCUGGUCUGAGAGGACGAUCAGCCACACUGGGACUGAGACACGGCCCAGACUCCUACGGGAGGCAGCAGUGGGGAAUCUUGCGCAAUGGGCGAAAGCCUGACGCAGCAACGCCGCGUGGAGGACGAAGGCUUUCUGAGUUGUAAACUCCUUUCAGCAGGGACGAUAGUGACGGUACCUGCAGAAGAGCACCGGCCAACUACGUGCCAGCAGCCGCGGUAA